GACGAACGCUGGCGGCGUGCUUAACACAUGCAAGUCGAACGGUAAGGCCCUUUCGGGGGUACACGAGUGGCGAACGGGUGAGUAACACGUGGGUAAUCUGCCCUGCACUUCGGGAUAAGCCUGGGAAACUGGGUCUAAUACCGGAUAUGAGUCCCGGCCGCAUGGUCUGGGGUUGGAAAGUUUUUCGGUGCAGGAUGAGCCCGCGGCCUAUCAGCUUGUUGGUGGGGUAAUGGCCUACCAAGGCGACGACGGGUAGCCGGCCUGAGAGGGUGAUCGGCCACACUGGGACUGAGACACGGCCCAGACUCCUACGGGAGGCAGCAGUGGGGAAUAUUGCACAAUGGGCGGAAGCGUGAUGCAGCGACGCCGCGUGGGGGAUGACGGUCUUCGGAUUGUAAACCCCUUCCAGUAGGGACGAAGCGCAAGUGACGGUACCUGCAGAAGAAGCACCGGCCAACUACGUGCCAGCCGCCGCGGUAA
RNAcentral lists this ribosomal RNA (480 nucleotides) under uncultured bacterium. RNAcentral describes it as "partial 16S ribosomal RNA". It matches the Rfam family "Bacterial small subunit ribosomal RNA", at positions 28 to 523 of the family's 1533-position model. The record is from RNAcentral.